AACGAACGCUGGCGGCAUGCCUAACACAUGCAAGUCGAACGAGACCUUCGGGUCUAGUGGCGCACGGGUGCGUAACGCGUGGGAACCUGCCUUUAGGUUCGGAAUAACUCCCCGAAAGGGGUGCUAAUACCGGAUAAUGUCUGCGGACCAAAGAUUUAUCGCCUUUGGAUGGGCCUGCGUUGGAUUAGCUAGUUGGUAGGGUAAAAGCCUACCAAGGCGACGAUCCAUAGCUGGUCUGAGAGGAUGAUCAGCCACACUGGGACUGAGACACGGCCCAGACUCCUACGGGAGGCAGCAGUGGGGAAUAUUGGACAAUGGGCGAGAGCCUGAUCCAGCCAUGCCGCGUGAGUGAUGAAGGCCUUAGGGUUGUAAAGCUCUUUUACCCGGGAUGAUAAUGACAGUACCGGGAGAAUAAGCUCCGGCUAACUCCGUG
This 433-nucleotide ribosomal RNA is filed under the name uncultured bacterium. RNAcentral's name for it is "partial 16S ribosomal RNA". It matches the Rfam family "Bacterial small subunit ribosomal RNA", at positions 29 to 507 of the family's 1533-position model. The record is from RNAcentral.